AAAUGAAUUGACGGGGGCCCGCACAAGCGGAGGAACAUGUGGUUUAAUUCGAUGAUACGCGAGGAACCUUACCCGGGCUUGAAAUGUACCUGACGAGGCUCAGAGACGAGCCUUUCCUUCGGGCAGGUAUGUAGGUGCUGCAUGGUUGUCGUCAGCUCGUGCCGUGAGGUGUCGGCUCAAGUGCCAUAACGAGCGCAACCCCUUCCGCUGGUUACCAUCGGGUGAUGCCGGGGACUCCAGCGGCACUGCCGCCGCAAGGCGCGAGGAAGGCGGGGAUGACGUCAAAUCAGCACGGCCCUUACGUCCGGGGCCACACACGUGUUACAAUGGGGGGCACAGCAGGCAGGACGCGGGCGACCGCGUUCGAAUCAUGAAAUCCCCUCCCAGUUCGGACUGGAGUCUGCAACCCGACUCCACGAAGCUGGAUUCGCUAGUAAUCGCGCAUCAGCCAUGGCGCGGUGAAUACGUUCCCGGGCCUUGUACACACCGCCCGU
This 494-nucleotide ribosomal RNA is filed under the name uncultured bacterium. RNAcentral's name for it is "bacterial SSU rRNA". It matches the Rfam family "Bacterial small subunit ribosomal RNA", at positions 903 to 1397 of the family's 1533-position model. The record is from RNAcentral.